Molecule: ribosomal RNA, 513 nt
Filed under: Triticum aestivum (bread wheat)
Lineage: Eukaryota; Viridiplantae; Streptophyta; Magnoliopsida; Poales; Poaceae
Description: partial small subunit ribosomal RNA
Source: RNAcentral
AUGGAAGAGAAAUAUCAUAAGAAGAUUCAAGAGACAAAGCAGGAGCCAUCCGUCGCCGGAUGCACAUCAUCCAAACUUUUUGCACUGCACAUAGAGAAGAACAAAGCUGCAAAGAUGACAGAACAGAGUUGCACACAGGAAAACUUCUUAGCCGUCCACAAAUCAUCCAUGUUUUUUCGAUUGUUGGCUGAACCUCAUGCCGGGGGGCGCCAGCUGAAAUGCAUUAGAAAGUUUGCUGCACUGAAUUCACCCCAAUCAACAGCAAAAACAUGGGGGUGGGGGGGGCAGCUUACUGCUCUUCCACCGGGAACUGCACGGCCGCGACGCACGAACUGCACGGCCUCGACGAGCAAACUGCACGACACAGCGAUCCAGCAAAACUCCGGCGGACCUACACCACCCAUGAAUCGAACUGCAUCGGGAGCCUCCACCGUCUUCAGGCCAGCUCGUCAGAGGGGAGGGGAGGCAGGAGAGCCGGCGCUGCUGCCACUGGUCGCUCUCGCCUGUAUCUAG